AAGUCGUAACAAGGUAACCGUAGGUGAACCUGCGGUUGGAUCAUUAUUGAUUUUAUUAUCUUUAAUUUCAGUGAGGGCUUACUCUUAAGACUUUUAUUAGUUUGUGAGUCUUCACUGAUUAACAAUUUGUGCACUGUAACGUAAAGUUCGUUGGUGGAUUUAUUUCUACCUUCGAACAUUUUUAUAUAACCUUUUAAUCCAAUUUGUAGUAACCUAUUUUUUCUAAGAAAAAAGAUUAAACAACUUUUGACUACGGAUCUCUAGGCUCUC
Molecule: unclassified non-coding RNA, 270 nt
Filed under: fungal sp.
Lineage: Eukaryota; Fungi
Description: partial internal transcribed spacer region
Rfam family: Eukaryotic small subunit ribosomal RNA (bases 1-46)
Source: RNAcentral